UACGAAGGUGGCAAGCGUUGUUCGGAUUUACUGGGCGUACAGGGAGCGUAGGCGGUUGGAUAAGCCCUCCGUGAAAUCUCCAGGCUUAACCUGGAAAGUGCAGAGGGGACUGUUCAGCUAGAGGAUGGGAGAGGAGCGCGGAAUUCCCGGUGUAGCGGUGAAAUGCGUAGAGAUCGGGAGGAACACCAGUGGCGAAGGCGGUUGCCUGGAGCUUUGCUGACGCUGAGGCGCGAAAGCGUGGGGAGCGAUCCGG
RNAcentral lists this ribosomal RNA (253 nucleotides) under uncultured bacterium. Its description in RNAcentral is "partial 16S ribosomal RNA". It matches the Rfam family "Bacterial small subunit ribosomal RNA", at positions 524 to 776 of the family's 1533-position model. The record is from RNAcentral.